This 425-nucleotide ribosomal RNA is filed under the name uncultured bacterium. RNAcentral describes it as "bacterial SSU rRNA". It matches the Rfam family "Bacterial small subunit ribosomal RNA", at positions 355 to 776 of the family's 1533-position model. The record is from RNAcentral.
UAAGGAAUAUUGGACAAUGGGCGCAAGCCUGAUCCAGCCAUGCCGCGUGAAGGACGAAGGCGCUCAGCGUUGUAAACUUCUUUUGGACGGGAACAAUACCUCUGGUGCGCCAGAGCUUGAGGGUACCGUCAGAAUAAGCACCGGCUAACUCCGUGCCAGCAGCCGCGGUAAUACGGAGGGUGCAAGCGUUAUCCGGAAUCACUGGGUUUAAAGGGUGCGUAGGCGGUCUUGUAAGUCAGUCGUGAAAUCGCUGGGCUCAACCUAUGCAAUUGCGAUUGAUACUGCAGGACUUGAAUGGGGUUAAGGCAGGCGGAAUGUGGCAUGUAGCGGUGAAAUGCAUAGAUAUGCCAUAGAACACCGAUUGCGAAGGCAGCCUGCUGGGCCUUGAUUGACGCUGAGGCACGAAAGCGUGGGGAGCAAACAGG